RNAcentral lists this ribosomal RNA (520 nucleotides) under uncultured Glomus. RNAcentral's name for it is "SSU rRNA". It matches the Rfam family "Eukaryotic small subunit ribosomal RNA", at positions 569 to 1092 of the family's 1831-position model. Lineage: Eukaryota; Fungi; Glomeromycota; Glomeromycetes; Glomerales; Glomeraceae. The record is from RNAcentral.
UGCAGCCGCGGUAAUUCCAGCUCCAAUAGCGUAUAUUAAAGUUGUUGCAGUUAAAAAGCUCGUAGUUGAAUUUCGGGAUCAGAUUGUCGGUCGUGCCUCGGUACGUACUGGCAUUAUUGGUUCCUACCUUCUGAAGAACCGCGAUGUCAUUAAUUUGGUGUCGUGGGGAAUCAGGACUGUUACUUUGAAAAAAUUAGAGUGUUUAAAGCAGGCGCACGCUUGAAUACAUUAGCAUGGGAUAAUGAAAUAGGACGUUUGAUUCUAUUUUGUUGGUUUCUAGGAUUGACGUAAUGAUUAAUAGGGAUAGUUGGGGGCAUUAGUAUUCAAUUGUCAGAGGUGAAAUUCUUGGAUUUAUUGAAGACUAACUACUGCGAAAGCAUUUGCCAAGGAUGUUUUCAUUAAUCAAGAACGAAAGUUAGGGGAUCGAAGACGAUCAGAUACCGUCGUAGUCUUAACCAUAAACUAUGCCGACUAGGGAUCGGAUGAUGUUAAUUUUUAAUGACUCAUUCGGCGCCUUAAC